Molecule: ribosomal RNA, 492 nt
Filed under: uncultured bacterium
Lineage: Bacteria
Description: partial 16S ribosomal RNA
Rfam family: Bacterial small subunit ribosomal RNA
Source: RNAcentral
AGUGAACGCUGGCGGUAGGCCUAACACAUGCAAGUCGAACGGCAGCACAGUAAGAGCUUGCUCUUACGGGUGGCGAGUGGCGGACGGGUGAGGAAUACAUCGGAAUCUACUUUUUCGUGGGGGAUAACGUAGGGAAACUUACGCUAAUACCGCAUACGACCUACGGGUGAAAGCAGGGGAUCUUCGGACCUUGCGCGAUUGAAUGAGCCGAUGUCGGAUUAGCUAGUUGGCUGGGUAAAGGCCCACCAAGGCGACGAUCCGUAGCUGGUCUGAGAGGAUGAUCAGCCACACUGGAACUGAGACACGGUCCAGACUCCUACGGGAGGCAGCAGUGGGGAAUAUUGGGCAAUGGGCGCAAGCCUGAUCCAGCCAUACCGCGUGGGUGAAGAAGGCCUUCGGGUUGUAAAGCCCUUUUGUUGGGAAAGAAAAGCAGCAGGUUAAUACCCCGCUGUUCUGACGGUACCCAAAGAAUAAGCACCGGCUAACUUCGUG